RNAcentral lists this ribosomal RNA (646 nucleotides) under Streptomyces sp. 363(2010). Its description in RNAcentral is "bacterial SSU rRNA". It matches the Rfam family "Bacterial small subunit ribosomal RNA", at positions 111 to 770 of the family's 1533-position model. The record is from RNAcentral. Lineage: Bacteria; Bacillati; Actinomycetota; Actinomycetes; Kitasatosporales; Streptomycetaceae.
UAACACGUGGGCAAUCUGCCCUGCACUCUGGGACAAGCCCUGGAAACGGGGUCUAAUACCGGAUAUGAUCACCGGCCGCAUGGUCUGGUGGUGGAAAGCUCCGGCGGUGCAGGAUGAGCCCGCGGCCUAUCAGCUUGUUGGUGGGGUGAUGGCCUACCAAGGCGACGACGGGUAGCCGGCCUGAGAGGGCGACCGGCCACACUGGGACUGAGACACGGCCCAGACUCCUACGGGAGGCAGCAGUGGGGAAUAUUGCACAAUGGGCGAAAGCCUGAUGCAGCGACGCCGCGUGAGGGAUGACGGCCUUCGGGUUGUAAACCUCUUUCAGCAGGGAAGAAGCGAGAGUGACGGUACCUGCAGAAGAAGCGCCGGCUAACUACGUGCCAGCAGCCGCGGUAAUACGUAGGGCGCAAGCGUUGUCCGGAAUUAUUGGGCGUAAAGAGCUCGUAGGCGGCUUGUCACGUCGGAUGUGAAAGCCCGGGGCUUAACCCCGGGUCUGCAUUCGAUACGGGCAGGCUAGAGUUCGGUAGGGGAGAUCGGAAUUCCUGGUGUAGCGGUGAAAUGCGCAGAUAUCAGGAGGAACACCGGUGGCGAAGGCGGAUCUCUGGGCCGAUACUGACGCUGAGGAGCGAAAGCGUGGGGAGCG